This 496-nucleotide ribosomal RNA is filed under the name uncultured bacterium. Its description in RNAcentral is "partial 16S ribosomal RNA". It matches the Rfam family "Bacterial small subunit ribosomal RNA", at positions 29 to 507 of the family's 1533-position model. The record is from RNAcentral.
AUGCACGCUGGCGGCGUGCCUAAUCCAUGCAAGUCGAGCGAACAGAUGAGGAGCUUGCUCCUCUGACGUUAGCGGCGGACGGGUGAGUAACACGUGGAUAACCUACCUAUAAGACUGGGAUAACUUCGGGAAACCGGAGCUAAUACCGGAUAAUAUAUUGAACCGCCUGGUUCAAUAGUGAAAGACGGUUUUGCUGUCACUUAUAGAUGGAUCCGCGCCGCAUUAGCUAGUUGGUAAGGUAACGGCUUACCAAGGCAACGAUGCGUAGCCGACCUGAGAGGGUGAUCGGCCACACUGGAACUGAGACACGGUCCAGACUCCUACGGGAGGCAGCAGUAGGGAAUCUUCCGCAAUGGGCGAAAGCCUGACGGAGCAACGCCGCGUGAGUGAUGAAGGUCUUCGGAUCGUAAAACUCUGUUAUUAGGGAAGAACAAAUGUGUAAGUAUCUAUGCACGUCUUGACGGUACCUAAUCAGAAAGCCACGGCUAACUACGUG